This 1997-nucleotide long non-coding RNA is filed under the name Homo sapiens (human). RNAcentral's name for it is "EFCAB6 antisense RNA 1 (EFCAB6-AS1)". The record is from RNAcentral. Lineage: Eukaryota; Metazoa; Chordata; Mammalia; Primates; Hominidae.
AUCUGAAGUACCAGCUAUAAUAGAAAAGCCGCCGUGGAAACGUCUUCUUGGGGUGCCCCCGAUCGCAAUAACAGUCUGGGUGCACCAUGACAGCUUUCGCUAUGCACACAGUCACUUGGAAAGAAUCCAAUCCAUGAUCCCAAGCUGCCUUUAGUCAUCAUGGCUCCCAACUGUCUUCCAGUCUAAGAUGGUUUCUCCGUAUUUCCUUGCUUCCUCUGGCCUUGGAAGUUUUGAGGCGUGCUGGGUUGAAUUUCUCCACAAGAGCUACAGAAAAAAAUGGCAGUUCAAUUGGUGGCGAUUCAUUCAUUCAUUCAUUCUUCACUCAUUCAUUCAACACUUGCUGAGACACCUUCUCUGCUUCAGGCCCUGGCUUGGUCCUCACAUCAAAGAACUCACGGUUGGUGGCUGGACAUAUGUGGAGACAGACAUGUGACAAACUAAGUGCCGCAGGGAGGGGGACCCUGAGUCCCGCUGGCCCACACUGUCCUGGGUUUGCAUGGUCACAGCUUAUGGACAGAGACUAUGGGAGCUAUGACCAAAACACAGAGAGGGAGGUAAGGGGGUGUUCCCCGCCGUGUCAGGGCAGAGUCAGGUGUGUGAGGAGCAGGGGAAGGUUCCCUGAGCUCAUAGUGAGCCUGGCUGGGGCUGGACUGUGGGGAUGGAAUUCAGACUCAGCCCUAUGACCAAGUAUUUCCUAACGGCACCAGAGACAGGUUCUCUAGUGUCUGUUAUGCAAGGCAAAUUCUCGCUUUAAGUUUCCAUUCCAUUGAUGAUCUAAAAAUAUAUACAACUUAUUCUGGAUACAGGGACCACCUUUAGGAGAUAACAGCUGUGCAGCCUCAGGGGCUGAGUCCAGCUUUCUGAUCAGGCUCAUGUGGAUGCUCCACGGGGAGUGUUGCUGGUGGCCGAGAGGCUGGCCCACCGGAACCUCUGAAGAGCAAGGCUCGCCCCACGCUUGGCACUCAUCCUCAUGCCGCAUUCUCCUGCCAGUUGUAAAGACAACACUUCUCUGGGAGUGACAACUCAUAAUUGAAGGAGGCUUAUGUAAGAUAAGAUUUGAGUUGAAGUUUCAUAGACUAGACUUUGUUUUGACAUCCUGAAAGAACAGAAUGUCAGGGAGUGGAAUGCUGUGUGAGUUGUUGAGGCAAAUGAGGAAGGCCAGUGGAAGCAGACUGCAGGCAAACGACACCUGCAUGCCAAGCCAGGCCAAGAGAGGCUGUUGCACGUUCUAGAAGCAGAGAUUUCUUUGCCCUUGCACACAGGGAAGCAGCAGCAGGUCACGGUGCCUGUCAGGACAUAGCGGGGGCCCAUGGAACCCCAAGGAACUGGCCCAUACAUGCCUCUGAUGCUCUGACUCACAGAAGGCCAUCAGCAGUGAGGAGAAAAUACAGAAUGACUUUUGGAAAGCAAUCGGCUUUUUUUUACAGUAUUGAAUUUUGGAUGCAUGACUAACAUCUGACAAGCCUAUCAUAAUAACUGAGUGGGGACUUAAAUGAGUUCAUGGUUGAAAAGAAAAAGCCAGCAGUAGCAAUAAGGACAGUAACACAGUGAAGGUUUAUCACUCUCAAAAUCAAAGAAUUAACUAAAAAAAAAAGGGAACGCCAAUAUGUGUGACAACCAACAUGCGUGUUUUGGCUUCAGCAAAACGUUACAUUAAAUCAAUGAACAACAUUUGAAUAUUACUGAUUUCAGAUUUUUUAUACUUAAUUUACAAGUGUUUUUUAAUAGGCUCUAACUUAAAGAGUUUACACCUGGUUUCAUUUGUGCAUUUUAAGGUCAUGAUUAUGAUAAAAGUAAUUUAUAUUAAUAUUGGAGGCUCUCAAAGAAAACAUUUUCCUUUAAAAGGAGUCUGUAUAUUAGUCAUGUGUUGGGGGAGCUAAAAAGCCAAGGAGUGACAUGGUCAGAUGUAUUUUCCUGUAAUGUAAAAUGUUGAAUAAACAAGAUGUAACUGGGCCGGGUGUGUUGGGUCACACCUGAUCCUAGCACUCUGGGAGGCU